UUUGAAUAUUAAAAUUUCAUAUUUAACGCUCGAGUUACGAGAGGUUGAUGCUAAAUUAGAACGAAUUUUCCUUAAUUUUAACCGUUUCGAAUAUAUUUACUUGCCUUUUCUAAUGUUUUAUUACGUCAAAAAAUUAAUAAUAUAACCAUUAUUCAGUAUAUAGAUAAUGCCGAUACGUGUAUUGAAAAAUAUUACGGUUUUAACUCCGCAGUCGGUUCGCUUGAAAAACUGGGAGGAUGUAAAGGAAGAUUAAAUGUUAACAGUUUCAUCGAUUGUAUGGACCAAACAGAUAUAUUGAAUGCAUACUUACAAGAAUCAAGAACAGAGCUGUUAAACAGAGAAUCCAUAGCUGAAUAUUGUCUUUCUCUAAUUAAACAUCUAUCAUAAUUUUUAUACAUGUUCGUGUUAAUAUUGUACACUUAAAUAUUUUCUAUUUUGUAAUAA
Centruroides sculpturatus (bark scorpion) is the source of this 444-nucleotide long non-coding RNA. RefSeq lists it as uncharacterized. Lineage: Eukaryota; Metazoa; Arthropoda; Arachnida; Scorpiones; Buthidae. The transcript is spliced from 3 exons. The record is from RefSeq and is a predicted model, not a curated record.